Molecule: long non-coding RNA, 276 nt
Filed under: Brassica napus (rape)
Lineage: Eukaryota; Viridiplantae; Streptophyta; Magnoliopsida; Brassicales; Brassicaceae
Description: long non-coding RNA (BNAP_LNC026033)
Source: RNAcentral
GCCGUUGGCUCUCGCAGAGAUCCGGGACCUCUGGGAAAUUCGGGUUUUCCUAGUUUCCUAAUUUAAACAUAAAUCGACAGUGUGAAUUUCGGUUCCCACAAUCACCUAGAGCAAGCUCUCAUCUUUCUCCAUUGGAGUUUAUACACACACAUACAACCAGAGAAGAGAACUCUACAAAUCUCAUACGAAAUAACCCGAACCCGAACCUUAAAAACCCGAACACGUUCCGAAGUAUAAAAUAACCCGAACGGGUUCUGUACCUCUCCAUCCGAAAAC